UCUACAUUUUUCGCCCCAUGCAUUUACAGGGCGAGUCGGACCAGAUCCAACUCAUCGAACUCGUCGACCGACUCGUCGUCCAAACCCCAAACCUCUCACAAUUAUUAGGGUUUUAGAUUAGAUCGGUUUCGUCUCCUCCUCCCCUCUCUCUCUCUCUCUCCCUCUCUCUUCCUCUUCUCCACAGAGCACGCAAAGAAAGGAAAAAAAUGGCGUCGCUCCGCGGAUACGCCGCCAUUGCCGCUGCCGCGUCGAGGUCCUCCGCCGCUGCCACCCCCGCCGCGAGAUCGGCGGCUCUUCGGUCCAAAGCUCCGCUCCUCAAACCCUCGCCUCCGCGGCGCUCCGCCCCUCUCUUUCGCAGGUCGAUGGCGUCGGCGUUGGGGGGCGUCGAGUCCCUGAUGCCGCUCCACUCCGCCGUCGCGGCCGCGCGGCUCCGAUCGUUCAUCGCCACCGAUUCCUCCUGCUGGAGCUGGCUCUCCCAAGGUUUAAACAAGCGCAUCUGAUCAUGGCUAGGAAGACUGACAAAGAAGAGAAGACAUUCAAGAUCAAAAUGUGAUUGAAUUUUCUGGAGCCAUGUUUGUUCCUUUUAUAUUAUUGGGGGCUGAUGUGAUAUUUUAGAAGCUCAAGUCACUAAAACGAGUUUGAGUUAUUCACUCUGCGGAAACUGUUUUGGGAAAAAGUUACUUUGCCCUCCCCCGGUGAUGAAGACUGAAACCUGCCGCUUCCAGAAACAGCCAAAAACAAAAAAAAAAGGCUGCUAGAAUUCUGCUCUUCUUCUUGUGUCAUUGCUUGCAUUAGGGAUGAUAUAUUCAAGUUUAACUUUAAAAGCAUGUUUCACAUUUCAAUUAUGAUUACAUUCUUUUUCUUGAUAGUUUUAUUUUUCGAUGAAUGGUGAUACAUCGCCAAACAAAUUGCUCUUGUUCUUUACUAUAAUUUUUGUUGGAAAAACGAUUCGUGGGUGAUAGUUACUGGAGGGAAAGAUAGAUUACAUUGAUGCCGUUCAUUUA
Ananas comosus (pineapple) is the source of this 1004-nucleotide RNA transcript. RefSeq lists it as uncharacterized. Lineage: Eukaryota; Viridiplantae; Streptophyta; Magnoliopsida; Poales; Bromeliaceae. The record is from RefSeq and is a predicted model, not a curated record. The transcript is spliced from 4 exons.